CAACUCCUGGAUUCAAGCGAUUCUCCUGCCUCAGUCUCGAUGAAGAUAGUCUGAAAACUUGCCUGGAAGUUUGACAACAACAGAGGAGAGCUCCUUUAUCAUCAAAAAGCCAAGAAAGCAAUGCAGUCUUGCUUAUAAAAGUUACACCUGCAAAAAUGGGACUGAAUCCAGUGAGGAAGGACAUAACAUUUUGCUUGAAUGUGCAAAAAAUUGUCUGUAUCCCUGCAAGCUCUGAGCAGCCCAGUGGGUAAAUGAGCGUUUGUUUCCUGUUCACCAUCUUUGAGUUGAAAAUGAGUCACACACUCGUGGAAAGAAUAGUACUAUCUUCUUUUGUCUAGCUCUGCAUGCUUUUGUGGUUACUGAAUUUGUCUUAAUGGGAAGCUUGAUUGUUUCUCUUUUUGAGGCAAACUAUUAGAAUUUAUUUUUAAUCUGGAAUAAGAGUACUUUAAAUAUACUAUUUUUGAUUCAUAACUGGA
This is a long non-coding RNA of Chlorocebus sabaeus (green monkey), 476 nucleotides long. RefSeq lists it as uncharacterized. NCBI's taxonomy places the organism in Eukaryota, Metazoa, Chordata, Mammalia, Primates, Cercopithecidae. The record is from RefSeq and is a predicted model, not a curated record.